AAACGUACUCAGUUCGGAUUGCAGGCUGCAACCCGCCCUGCAUGAAGCCGGAAUCGCUAGUAAUCGCAGAUCAGCAUGCUGCGGUGAAUACGUUCCCGGGUCUUGUACACACCGCCCGUCACACCAUGGGAGUCGAUAACGCCCGAAGUCAGUGACCCAACCGAAAGGAGGGAGCUGCCGAAGGCGGGAUUGAUAACUGGGGUGAAGUCGUAACAAGGUAUC
Molecule: ribosomal RNA, 222 nt
Filed under: uncultured bacterium
Lineage: Bacteria
Description: partial 16S ribosomal RNA
Rfam family: Bacterial small subunit ribosomal RNA
Source: RNAcentral